Unclassified non-coding RNA from Fukomys damarensis (Damara mole-rat), 333 nucleotides. Its record names the gene 7SK. It matches the Rfam family "7SK RNA". Rfam says of the family: 7SK was discovered as an abundant small nuclear RNA in the mid-70s but a possible function has only recently been suggested. The record is from Ensembl. NCBI's taxonomy places the organism in Eukaryota, Metazoa, Chordata, Mammalia, Rodentia, Bathyergidae.
GGAUGUAAGGCUGAACUGGCUGCGGCAUCUGUCACCCUGUUGAUUGCCAGGGUUCAUUCAGCUGACCUGACUGGGUAGGUGGGUGUCACCUUCCUCCCUCACUGCUCCGUGUGUAUCCCUCCCAAAUCUGCUCUGAAGAGGACAAACAUCCCCGGUCGAGGAGAUAGAGGUGGACCAGCUCCUUGGUCAAGGGCAUACUAGUAGCUGUGCUCUCCUUCUAGAAACUCCAAACAAGAUGUCGAGGUGCUAAGUCCUUUUGUCCAAUGCCAAUGUUACCAGAGUUUCAUAUAAUAAGAUACAAGUACAUUGUUGGAAUUUAAUAAACUAUCUUUU